RNAcentral lists this long non-coding RNA (223 nucleotides) under Elaeis guineensis (African oil palm). RNAcentral describes it as "long non-coding RNA (EGUI_LNC011162)". The record is from RNAcentral. Lineage: Eukaryota; Viridiplantae; Streptophyta; Magnoliopsida; Arecales; Arecaceae.
CUAGGUGUCACUGAUGGAUUGUGAGAGCUCACUAGGAUUAUUCUGGAUCGACCAUCCUUACUGAGUUAGAGUAGAAUUGUUCUGACCCAUUAAAAAGAGUUUCAAUAAUAUAAUGAUAGAGAUUAUUGUAUAUCUCACUACCAGAUAGAAUUGAAUAUAUGAGGUCACACAACAAAGGGAUUAGGUCUGGAAUAAGAAAUUGAGUUUAUGAAGUGUCAAUUGG